AGGAUGAACGCUGGCGGCGUGCCUAACACAUGCAAGUCGAACGGUAACAGGUCUAGUUUACUAGAUGCUGACGAGUGGCGGACGGCUGAGUAACGCGUGGGAACGUGCCCCAAAGUGAGGAAUAAGCACCGGAAACGGUGUCUAAUGCCGCAUAUGAUCUUCGGAUUAAAGAAUUUAUUCGCUUUGGGAGCGGCCCGCGUUAGAUUAGGUAGUUGGUGAGGUAAAGGCUCACCAAGCCCACGAUCUAUAGCUGGUCUGAGAGGAUGACCAGCCAGACUGGAACUGAGACACGGUCCAGACUCCUACGGGAGGCAGCAGUGAGGAAUCUUCCACAAUGGGCGAAAAGCCUGAUGGAGCAACGCCGCGUGCAGGAUGAAGGCCUUGGGUCGUAAACUGCUUUUAUAAGUGAAGAAUACGACGGUAACUUAUAGAAUAAGGAUACGGCUAACUACGUAACCAAGCAGCCGC
RNAcentral lists this ribosomal RNA (468 nucleotides) under uncultured soil bacterium. RNAcentral describes it as "bacterial SSU rRNA". It matches the Rfam family "Bacterial small subunit ribosomal RNA", at positions 26 to 518 of the family's 1533-position model. The record is from RNAcentral.